RNAcentral lists this unclassified non-coding RNA (2185 nucleotides) under uncultured fungus. RNAcentral describes it as "sequence contains 18S rRNA gene, ITS1, 5.8S rRNA gene, ITS2, 28S rRNA gene". The stretch from base 1079 to 2185 matches the Rfam family "Eukaryotic large subunit ribosomal RNA", at positions 1 to 961 of the family's 3401-position model. The record is from RNAcentral. Lineage: Eukaryota; Fungi.
GGAGGGAUCAUUAUCUUAAGUAAACCAAUUUCUUUUGGUUAGAAAAUUAGGCUAACACUAUUGGAGACUUUAGUGUUGGUACUGUUUUUUUUUGGUUGGUUUUAUGUGGAUUUGUUUAGUCCAUAUAGACACUGUCCAAAAAAACUGCCUCUGUAGGCCAACAUUAUUGGAGACUUUAAUGUUGGUACUUUAUUGAACAUUGGUGAGUUCAUGCUGGAACUUGCCAUUGUUUCAAUGGUAUGAUGCUUAUUGGGCCAUCAAUUUCAUUGGUCUGCCAAUUUUGGGUCUAACCUAAUUUUUGGAUCCAACCUAAUUUUUUGAGUCUAACCUAAUUUUUGAGUCUAACCUAAUUUUUGAGUCAAACCUAAUUUUUGAGUCCAACCUAGUUUUGAGCCUGACCUUUUAUUAGGUUGGGCCCAUUAUUAAGUUGGGCCUAAUUAUUGGGUUGGGCCUAAUUUUUGGGUCCAACCUAGUUUUGAGCCUGACCUUUUAUUAGGUUGGGCCCAUUAUUAAGUUGGGCCUGAUUAUUAGGUUGGACCUGAUUAUUAGGUUGGACCUGAUUAUUAAGUUGGGCCUGAUUAUUAGGUUGGACCUGAUCAUUAGGUCUAACCAUAAAUUGGCUAGCCUAUGGGCUUGGUGCCUAAUUUUAUUGGUCGAACACCUGUCGACGGUGGAUAUCUAGGUUCCCACAACGAUGAAGAGCGCAGUAAACUGCGAUAAAACUUGUGAAUUGCAGAACUACGUGAAUCAUCUAGGUCUUGAACGCAUCUGGCACCUCACCGUCAAGGAUGAGGUAGGACGAGCUGAGCGCCAAUUCUAUCCAGAUCACCGAAAGGUGCAUUUGGGCUGGUGAUAACCUACCAGCCUUAAAUCAAACGGGGGUACUAUCGAUUUCGAUAGUACUAAAAAGAACCUAUCCAUUAGUUUUUUUGGUUGGGCUAGUCUGAGUUUACCAAGAUUUGAUUAGACAAAAACUAACUUUACUGAAAAUUCUUUUAGGCCAGUCCAUUUUUUGGGCCAGGGUUUGGGGUUACACCAUCCCCUUCAAAUGGUCUAUUGGGUCAUGUUGACUCUAAACUGGCCUCAGUCUGGUCCAGUCUACCCACUGAACUUAAGCAUAUCAUUAUGUGGAGGAAAAGAAACCAACAGGGAUUCCCUAAGUAAGGGCGACUGAACAGGGAACAGCUCAAACUUGAAAUCGGCCUGGGCCAAAACCCUUGUCCGAAUUGUAGUUUUGCGAAUGGAUUCUGGUAGAGACCCAGUUUAAGUACCCUGGAACGGGACGCCACAGAAGGUAAAAGCCCUGUAAAAUUGGUGUCUCUACCUGUAUGUUUCCAUUUCAAGGAGUCAGGCUAUUUGAGAGCAUAGCCUAAAGCGGGUGGUAAGCUCCAUCCAAAGCUAAAUAUCAGUGGGAGACCGAUAGCGAACAAGUACCGCGAGGGAAAGGUGAAAAAGACUCUGAAAAAGAGAGUUAAAAGUAUUUGAAACCAUCGACAGUGAAGCGAAUGUGCCACCCUUUCUAUUGUGUCUCAAUCAGCUGGCUGAUCUAAUACCAACCAAUGGUGGCUACCUGCUGUUAGUAGGUCCCAUCAUUGUGAGGGUCAACCAGUGCAAUUAUUACACUUUGGGUGCAACAUAUUUAUGUGAUCAACUAGGGGGGCAACAAUUGGUAAUCAGCUUGCUGGUGAAUAUUGGGGCUCAACCUUAAUUGUAUCAUAUAAAUAAUUGGGUCAGGGACCCAAUCCUAUCUCUGCAAGGGAUAUUGUAUUUGGUGGAAGGCCUACAUUGUUUUGCAAAAGGUGGUGUAGGUCCAAAUCAAGUGGGAUAUUCACUAAGGAUGGGAUUUUUGUUGUAUGGGGGGUACAUUUGUCCCGUCUUGAAACACGGACCAAGGAGUGUAGAUUGUAUGCAAGUCUAAGGGGCAUUUAACCCUGGAGGCGUAGCGAAAGCAUUUCGUGUGACGGCCCUAAAAAGCCUGCAACACGGACCGAUCGUGACACAUGGUGGGAAGUAUCGAGUUUGAGCAUACAGUCUACGACCCGAAAGACCGCGAACUAUACCUGCAUAGGGUGAAGCCAGAAGAAAUUCUGGUGGAGGCCCGUAGCGGUUCUGACGUGCAAAUCGAUCGUCAAAUGUGGGUAUAGCGGCGAAAGACUAAUCGAGCGGUCUAGUAGCUGGUUCCCUC